ACUUAUUUUAUGUAUUAGACAACACGGGGGAAAUGACAUUUGGGAUUAAUGAGGCAUGUAAUCAUAAUUACAUGGCUGGUUCAUCAUCCUACGUCCCAAAUCGUGCCUGAAAUCAGCGAAUGGUAUAACCCAUGUCGAGUCUCAGUGCAGCCCCAUAUUCUUGCUUGGAGUGAGGGUUCCAUAGCUUACCCAUCAAGGUCAAGAAGCAUCUAGUCCUCUAGCAAAAAGCAAAUCAGGCUCUGACCAAUAGCAGCCUCAGGAUCAGGAAAGAUGCUAUGUGUCUUCCACUCUCUGUUCCCAGUUUGGAAGGUGGCAUGACAUGCAGGAAAGCUAAUGUCACAAGACACUGGUGUCUCCCCCGCCCCCCCCACGGGCUUCCCCUGGCUCAAAGCAGUGUAAAAUGUGAAUGAAGGAAUCAGGGAACAGUGUUGAUUAAACAGCAACCAUGUACCAGAGACAUGCCAGCCGGGUUUGUACUAAUAGAUGGAGCAGAGCAUUUACACAAAAUAAAUGCUCAGUAAAUCAGUUUUGAGAUACACGUGCAUUCAUGCACUUGUGUGUAUGUGUAUGUUUAUACAUACAGGUAUUUCUGGAAGUACUGAGUAGUGGCAAAGAACCUGAAGUUUUGCAUUCCAUGGAUUUGGCCCUGUGCCCAGGCAUCACAUCAUUAAAUACAGGGACUCAUUGAUGAGUUUUGCACAACUUUUCCAUUUUACUGUUGUUAAUAUUCUGCUCCUUUCUUACAACUUCUGUUGCACUCUCAUGGUCCUCAAGGAAGAGGAUUGUGUCAUUUUCUUGAAAAAGCCAUCGCUGCGCAUGAACUCUCCAGGAUCAUUUUGCUGUGGAAUCACUGUGCAUUUUGACAUUCGGCCUAAACCUUUCAUGGUGAUGGUGGUUUAUGCUCCUGCCUAUGGAAAGGAAGCAUGGCAGGUAAACAAAGUUACAGUGAACCAGCAGGAUGACCUGCUGGAUGCCAUCUGGGGCCUGCUCCCCAUGGGUGGGGCGGGGGGGGAAGGCCACUCACACAUGGCUGGCAGUGAACUGGCAUGUGCCCCAUCCCCUGUUCACCAUGAGAGUGGACAGCCGCCCUCUGCCCAAACCCAUUUCCACCCCGGAUUUUCUAUGGCAUUUCGGGUUCUGGGGGUCUGUGCCCCACAGAGGAGCUCUCUGACAGUUUGUAUGAGGUCUGAUGUGACAGAGAACCAACCCUUGCCCAGCUCUGUCUCCAGUCACAAGAACUAGUCCUGCUACCUCAUCCUCUUUCCUGAAGUUAAAAUGAUAGUAUCUGUAUAACACGACUCAGAGGUCUAGCAGGAAACAGUGGCACAUUCAGUAAAUUCCAAGAGCCAACAGGGGAUUUCCAGCCCCUCAGGGACUAAUGAGGACAGUGGGUGACUAGACACAAAUGGGGGUAGGCUGGGGGCAGGGAAAGAAGGUUCCUGGAAGCUGGCAAGUGCUGGCCCCGUGGAAGAGGCCCUGAUGGGCAGGAUUUGCAGCCACGAAAGAAUCUGCUCCUGCCCAAACUAGACAGCGAGCAGUGAGGAACGAGUACCCCAGCCUCCUAGGCGUUUGUUCUCUGAUCAAGGAGCCACCUUUUGCUGGAGCCACCUUUGCUUGGUCACUGCUGUGCGAGAGGGCAGAGUAGCUGGGGUGAUGCCACAAAGGGCAGCCUCCCGCCUUCUGUCGGCAGAGGGGCAGAGAAGGCAGAGUGGAUUUGCAGAACUGACAGGGCAAACAAAACACAAUCACCUUCUUUCCUCUUUUCCUGCCCUGGUUUCCCCCAGUUACUUCUUCCUCAUUUUCACAGACUUCUCAAAAGUGAGCUCCCUCCACUUGCCCUCCUCCCCUGAUGCCUUAACUCAGUGACUCAGGCAUCUGCUUCCACUGCUGCUGGGAGAGGCGGUCUCUUCAGCAAGGUCACACGUUCCUAUGGCCAAACUCUAUUAGUUUUUCUAAGAGCGAUUCUUCUGAACUCCUGUUAAAAACCUGCUUCCUCUGUGGUUUCUAAUGGCUCUGCCCUCUGGCUUUUUCCUUCAAGCUCUCUCCUCAGUCACUUGUGUGGAAUCCUUUCUCGUUUCUCUCCUUCCUUUGCAUUUAGGUAUCAGCCAGUUUUUUUCUGUGAUAACUGCCUCGCAAACAACACCAGAAUCUUAGUGCCUUGCAGUCACUGAUCUGAAAAGACUGGUUUUAUAUCUCAGAGCAUCAUGGAUGGGGAGCUUUUCCCUGGAGUCAUGUUUUAGUUGUGGAUUUGUGUUACUUUUUUUUUUUUCAUGCAAAUUCUGCUUUCUGUUUUAAUUUGCCUAGAGCCUGGCUUAAAGUCCUUCUUUGAAAAAAAAUUUUUUUUAAACUAUUCCUGGAAAGAAUUUUUUUUAAGUGAUCUUAAGAGUCUCGGGGCUGGGGGAACCUACUCUCUCAUGCCUCUAGAGAGCCCAGUAGUCUUUUCUCUCUUUAGAUCAGCUUCAAUGUUCAGAAAAUAAAAACACUAUUUUUCUAAUGUUGAUGCUUAGCAUUUGACAACUAAUCUAUAUUAUGUCUCAGCUGGGCCUCCAAAAGGAUCAAAAUUAUUAGUGUUUAGAAACAAAACAUAGCAUACAAAAGUACUUUUACAGUAUCCCCCCCCCCCAAGACCUGGCUUUCUGGUGGAUGCCAGAAACCACAGAUAGUACUGAAGCUUCUAGAUGCUGUUUUUCCCUAUGCCUACAUAGCCAGGCUCAGUAAGAGAGUAAUAAUAAAACUAAUAAAAUAAAAGGAUUAUAACAGUAUACUCUAAUACAAGUUAUAUGAAUGUAACUGUCUCUCUCUCAAAAUACCUGAUGUAUCUGCUCACCCUUCUUAUGAGGAUCUGAUAUAAAAUAUCUGUGUGAUGAAAUGAAGUAGAUGAAUGAUGGACAAAGCUUUGUGACAUAGCACCAGGCUCCUUCUGACUUUCUGGAGACAUCAAGAGAAAGAUCACCGGCUUUGGAUGAACAUGGCUCGUUGAGCAAUUUAAACCCUGUGAUUUGUUUCUUUCUAGAAUGUCCUGUGUAAUGCUUUCAAAAUGGGCUUGAUGUGGGUACCUGUUGCCAAAAUUUGGCUUCUGUCCACGUGCUGAAUUGAAAUGCAGAGACAGAGAUUUGAGUAAAGGAAACAAAAAAAAAAAGCUUUUAUUGCUUUGCCAGGCAGAGGAGGCUGCAGCAGGCUAAUGCCUUAAAGACUGAGCCUUCCAUUGGGAAGGGUCAAGGGAAGUUUUAUAGUAAAAGGGAGAACAGUGGGUUUCUGGAUGAGAAUCAGGAGUGAAGGCAAAAUGACAUUCUUCUUUCUUUGGGGGGACUCUUUAGUUAUCAAGGUUGGUGUCGUGCGAUCUCAUUGUGACCCCGGUGAUCUUCUGGGUUAUUGUGUCUGGAUCUUUCCUGGAAAUAAAAGUACUUGCUAGAAGGGCAUAUCGGUUAGUGAUUAGGGCCAUUGAGGAAGGUCCUCCAAAGAAACAUCAUGUGCUUAUAAUUUGUGACUCACAGGCAGUCGUGCCUAAUCUAUAGCUUACGGGUGAUUGUGUUUAAGGCGCAAUUAAGCUAGAGAGAAGGAGAAGGAAGACUCUAAGCUGUUCAGUUUUAAACUAGUCAUUUCUAAAAGAAGCAUAAAGAGGAGUUCCCGUCGUGGUGCAGUGGUUAACGAAUCCGACUAAGAACCAUGAGGUUGCGGGUUCGGUCCCUGCCCUUGCUCAGUGGGUUAAGGAUCUGGCGUUGCCGUGAGCUGUGGUGUAGGUUGCAGACACGGCUCGGAUCCCGCGUUGCUGUGGCUCUGGUGUAGGCUGGUGGCUACAGCUCCGAUUCAACCCCUAGCCUGGGAACCUCCAUAUGCUGCGGGUGCGGCCCAAGAAAUAGC
Molecule: long non-coding RNA, 3861 nt
Filed under: Sus scrofa (pig)
Lineage: Eukaryota; Metazoa; Chordata; Mammalia; Artiodactyla; Suidae
Description: lncRNA (ENSSSCG00000059127.1)
Source: RNAcentral